AAGAUAGCAGCUUGGCAACUCAGCUGCAGCCUUUUCAGAGUUGUUCAAAAGCACUAGGGUUUCAGAAAAAUUCGAUCUUCAGAGUACUGAAUCAUCACAAAGGAAGAUUCUACGAUAAGGGUUGUUCAGAUCGGUGUUUGUAAAACAUCUGCCUCAAUAUGUUGCAAAGCUCUGGGUUUGCUUAUGGUGAGUCACAUGUGAGGAUGGAUGCUCCUUUUGGUUUGGGCUGAUGCUUGUGAGAAGUGCUUUCCAUCAGGCUCCAAGUGACCCGGGCUAAUUAUGCCAAAGAUUUGGGUGGAAAAGUGAAGUUCUGUUUUAGUUGCAUGGAUGAGAGGACUUGAUAUCUACUGAAGAUGCUUCAUAUAAUAACAUGAUGUGAAAAUUUUUGUCAGGUUCUAUUUUCUUAUAGAAACUAAACAUGCCUAAGGAGAGAAGAGAUAGGUCUGUUUCUUUUGAUAGGAGCAGAGCUUCUCCUUACUGUUGUAGCUCGAGUCACUCAAGGUCAUCAUUGUCCAAAAACCCUUUGGAAAAUGAGGAAAAUGUGAAGGACUGGGAAGAUGCUCGAUGCCCAGUGUGUAUGGAACAUCCUCAUAAUGCUAUUCUCCUUCUGUGUGCCUCUCAUGAGAAGGGCUGUCGUCCUUUUAUGUGUGACACAAGUUAUAGGCAUUCAAAUUGUUUUGAUCAGUUCAAAAAGUCAUUUGAAGAAGCUUCAGCAUCAACAACUCAGCAAGUGGAGAUUCCAGCUUCAGCUUCUAUUACGGAAUCUACUGUAACGUUAUCAGAAGCUCUGUCUGAACUUCCAGGUGAAAGGACCGAAGGUGGUUCUAUAUCCCUAGAUGCCUUGUCUUGCGAGAACCAUGAAAUAAAGAAGAUGCUAU
RNAcentral lists this unclassified non-coding RNA (878 nucleotides) under Hevea brasiliensis (rubber tree). Lineage: Eukaryota; Viridiplantae; Streptophyta; Magnoliopsida; Malpighiales; Euphorbiaceae. The record is from RNAcentral.